GGAUUAGAUACCCUGGUAGUCCACGCCGUAAACGAUGUCGACUAGCCGUUGGAUUCCUUGAGGAUUUAGUGGCGCAGCUAACGCGAUAAGUCGACCGCCUGGGGAGUACGGCCGCAAGGUUAAAACUCAAAUGAAUUGACGGGGGCCCGCACAAGCGGUGGAGCAUGUGGUUUAAUUCGACGCAACGCGAAGAACCUUACCAGGUCUUGACAUCCAGAGAACUUACUAGAGAUAGUUUGGUGCCUUCGGGAACUCUGUGACAGGUGCUGCAUGGCUGUCGUCAGCUCGUGUUG
Molecule: ribosomal RNA, 293 nt
Filed under: uncultured bacterium
Lineage: Bacteria
Description: partial 16S ribosomal RNA
Rfam family: Bacterial small subunit ribosomal RNA
Source: RNAcentral